AGAGUUUGAUCCUGGCUCAGGAUGAACGCUAGCGGCAGGCUUAACACAUGCAAGUCGAGGGGCAGCGCGGGAUAGCAAUAUCCUGGCGGCGACCGGCGGAAGGGUGCGUAACGCGUGAGCGACAUGCCCGUUGCCCGGGGACAACCGGUGGAAACGCCGACUAAUCCCCGAUGGGAUACGAUGCUUCAUGGCAUUGUAUUGAAAGUUACGGCGGCGACGGAUUGGCUCGCGUCCGAUUAGCUUGUUGGCGGGGUAACGGCCCACCAAGGCUACGAUCGGUAGGGGUUCUGAGAGGAAGGCCCCCCACAAUGGGACUGUGAACCGCUUUUGCCUGGGGGCAAUAAGGGCGUCGCGCACGUCCGAUGAGAGUACCAGGCGAAUAAGCAUCGGCUAACUCCGUGCCAGCAGCCGCGGUAAUACGGGGGAUGCGAGCGUUAUCCGGAUUCAUUGGGUUUAAAGGGUGCGUAGGCUGUGCGUCAAGUCGGGGGUGAAAUUCCGGUGCUCAACACCGGGGCUGCCCUUGAUACUGUCGCGCUGGAGUGCGGAUGCCGCCGGAGGAAUGAGUGGUGUAGCGGUGAAAUGCUUAGAUAUCACUCAGAACACCGAUUGCGAAGGCAUCUGGCGAAUCCGUAACUGACGCUGAGGCACGAAAGCGUGGGGAUAGAACAGGAUUAGAUACCCUGGUAUUCCACGCCGUAAACGAUGAUGGCUAACCGCCGGCGACACACUGUCGGUGGCCAAGCGAAAGCGAUAAGCCAUCCACCUGGGGAGUACGUCGGCAACGAUGAAACUCAAAGGAAUUGACGGGGGCCCGCACAAGCGGAGGAACAUGUGGUUUAAUUCGAUGAUACGCGAGGAACCUUACCCGGGCUCGAACGGCACCUGGAUCGCCCAGAGAUGGGCGAGUCUUCGGACAGGUGUCGAGGUGCUGCAUGGUUGUCGUCAGCUCGUGCCGUGAGGUGUCGGCUCAAGUGCCAUAACGAGCGCAACCCCUGCCGCCAGUUGCCAUCAGGUGAUGCUGGGCACUCUGGCGGGACUGCCACCGCAAGGUGUGAGGAGGGGGGGGAUGACGUCAAAUCAGCACGGCCCUUACGUCCGGGGCGACACACGUGUUACAAUGGCGGCCACAGAGGGAAGCUACCCCGCGAGGGGAUGCGGAUCUCGAAAAGCCGUCCCAGUUCGGACUGGAGUCUGCAACCCGACUCCACGAAGUUGGAUUCGCUAGUAAUCGCGCAUCAGCCAUGGCGCGGUGAAUACGUUCCCGGGCCUUGUACACACCGCCCGUCAAGCCAUGGAAGCCGCGGGCGCCUGAAGUCCGUGACCGUAAGGAGCGGCCUAGGGCGAAAGUGGUAACUGGGGCUAAGUCGUAACAAGGUA
Molecule: ribosomal RNA, 1377 nt
Filed under: metagenome
Description: bacterial SSU rRNA
Rfam family: Bacterial small subunit ribosomal RNA
Source: RNAcentral